AGAACGAACGCUGGCGGCAUGCCUAACACAUGCAAGUCGAACGAGACCUUCGGGUCUAGUGGCGCACGGGUGCGUAACGCGUGGGAAUCUGCCCUUGGGUUCGGGAUAACAGUUGGAAACGACUGCUAGUACCGGAUGAUGUCUUCGGACCAAAGAUUUAUCGCCCAGGGAUGAGCCCGCGUAGGAUUAGCUUGUUGGUGAGGUAAGAGCUCACCAAGGCGACGAUCCUUAGCUGGUCUGAGAGGAUGAUCAGCCACACGUGGGACUGAGACACGGCCCAGACCUCCGUACGGGAGCAGCGAGGUAGGGAAUAGUUAGGAACAAGUGGGACGAAAGCCUAGAC
Molecule: ribosomal RNA, 343 nt
Filed under: uncultured soil bacterium
Lineage: Bacteria
Description: bacterial SSU rRNA
Rfam family: Bacterial small subunit ribosomal RNA
Source: RNAcentral